GGUACAGUGGUGAAAGCAGCGGCAGUGAAUCUGACGGCUGUGGUGGAAGACGCCGCAAGCAUCGGGGUAAAGGUCGCGGCCCAGGGCGUGGGCGAGGUCGCGGGAAAGGACAAGGAAGGUGGUGAACAGAGGACAGAUGAAUCCAGACCUGUCAGCUGACCCUCAGAAGAGCCCUCUGGCUUUGGAAUCGACU
Long non-coding RNA from Salarias fasciatus (jewelled blenny), 193 nucleotides. RefSeq lists it as uncharacterized. The transcript has 2 exons. The record is from RefSeq and is a predicted model, not a curated record. Lineage: Eukaryota; Metazoa; Chordata; Actinopteri; Blenniiformes; Blenniidae.